UGCCAGCAGCCGCGGUAAUACGGAGGGUGCAAACGUUGCUCGGAAUCAUUGGGCGUAAAGCGCGCGUAGGCGGCUUGAUAAGUCGGAUGUGAAAGCCCAGGGCUUAACCCUGGAAUUGCAUUCGAUACUGCAUGGCUAGAGUAUGGUAGAGGGAAGUGGAAUUUCCGGUGUAGCGGUGAAAUGCGUAGAUAUCGGAAGGAACACCAGUGGCGAAGGCGACUUCCUGGGCCAAUACUGACGCUGAGGUGCGAAAGCGUGGGGAGCAAACAGGAUUAGAUA
RNAcentral lists this ribosomal RNA (279 nucleotides) under uncultured bacterium. RNAcentral describes it as "partial 16S ribosomal RNA". It matches the Rfam family "Bacterial small subunit ribosomal RNA", at positions 506 to 784 of the family's 1533-position model. The record is from RNAcentral.